This 492-nucleotide ribosomal RNA is filed under the name uncultured bacterium. Its description in RNAcentral is "partial 16S ribosomal RNA". It matches the Rfam family "Bacterial small subunit ribosomal RNA", at positions 29 to 507 of the family's 1533-position model. The record is from RNAcentral.
AUUGAACGCUGGCGGCAUGCUUUACACAUGCAAGUCGAACGGUAACAGGCCUUCGGGUGCUGACGAGUGGCGAACGGGUGAGUAAUGCAUCGGAACGUACCCAGAGGUGGGGGAUAACGCAGCGAAAGCUGUGCUAAUACCGCAUGUGAUCUGAGGAUGAAAGCGGGGGACCGAGCAGCAAUGUUUGGCCUCGCGCCUUUGGAGCGGCCGAUGUCGGAUUAGCUAGUUGGUGGGGUAAAGGCCUACCAAGGCGACGAUCCGUAGCUGGUCUGAGAGGACGACCAGCCACACUGGGACUGAGACACGGCCCAGACUCCUACGGGAGGUAGCAGUGGGGAAUUUUGGACAAUGGGGGCAAGCCUGAUCCAGCAAUGCCGCGUGCGGGAAGAAGGCCUUCGGGUUGUAAACCGCUUUUGGCAGGAACGAAACGGUGUCCGCUAAUACCGGGCGCUAAUGACGGUACCUGCAGAAUAAGCACCGGCUAACUACGUG